Molecule: long non-coding RNA, 322 nt
Organism: Falco peregrinus (peregrine falcon)
Lineage: Eukaryota; Metazoa; Chordata; Aves; Falconiformes; Falconidae
Exons: 3
Source: RefSeq, a predicted model, not a curated record
GGGAACCUGGGAGAGUUUCGGGCCGGGACGUGCGGCGGCGCGCUGGAGGUGAUUUCCAGGCGGAGCUGACCAGUGGGGUUCUCUGGCUGAGGGGAAGACCAGCAGUCAGCUGGUGGAUGUGCUUCUGGAAGAAAUAGCAACGGGAGCUCUAAGAGAGGGAAAUGGCUUCCCUGCAUGGGAGGAGGAGGGGAGCGCUGAAGCUUUCGUGGCCAAGCCCCGGAGCCAGGAUGUCAGGGAGAAGCAGGAGUAUCUGAGCCAGCUGAAGAACAAGCUGGGAGAUCUACUUGUAAGUAUGGAGGGAAGGGGCUGAUGGGGACAGUAG